Long non-coding RNA from Dama dama (fallow deer), 2810 nucleotides. RefSeq lists it as uncharacterized. The record is from RefSeq and is a predicted model, not a curated record. NCBI's taxonomy places the organism in Eukaryota, Metazoa, Chordata, Mammalia, Artiodactyla, Cervidae. The transcript has 5 exons.
UGUCAGCAUUUUCUGGCUGGCGCCUUCCCGCCUGCGAUCAGCGUGACCUUUCAGCUUCUACGCCUUCGUGUCCUCUGUCCUGAGUAUCUCAGCAGCAGGAGCCUGAGAGGUUUGCCAUACUCAUUCCUUCUUUUCCGGGAGAAGAGUUGGGGAGAGGAUGAUGUAAAUACCAUGCCAGGCUAAGUCGGAAGACUGGAUAAAGUUGACCUACUGGUAGUAAAAAAUGUCUGAUUCUACCCCAUGAUUCUAAAGCAUACUACUAGAGGAUACCAUUGCAGUUGGACAGAAAAACAGAGAGAUUACAGUAUGCCAACUUUCUUUAGGAAAAAGUCAUGGCAGGAGAAAAUGUGAGUGAACCCUCCCUGGGACUAUAAUGGGUCAGAAGAGAGUCAUCUGAGAUCCAGAGAAGAAGCAGAGCAUACAGAACAGGCCAAAUGAUCCAGGUUCAAGUAGAAGAUGUUUAAUGAUCAGUGACAAGUCAGGUUGCAAGAUGGUGAGAAGCUUGAGAGAAACAAGACUGGAAGUCUGGCCACAAGGAGCCCUUAAGUGGAGAUAAGAAAGAAGCCCUCCCAGAGUGCACAGACUUGGGCAAAAUUUCUAAGCCAUACAGAUUUUAGGCUUCACUGGUGGCUCAGCGGUAAAGAAUCCCCUUGCCAAUGCUGGAGACACAGGUUCAAUUCUUGGGUUGGGAAGAUCACCUAAGGAAGAAAAUGGCAAUCUACUCCAGUAUUCUUGCCUGGAGAAUCCCAAGGACAGGGGAUCCUGGCAGGCUACAGUCCAUGUGGUUGCCAAGAAGCAGACACAACUGAGUGGCUGAACAACAACAAAUAGAUCUUCCGUUGACUGACUUCCAUGUUAGUCUGUGAAGGUUGCUGCCAUGAAAACCAAAUAAAACCAUCACCUACUUCGGAAAAGCUAUUUCAGCCACUGAUGAUUUCUCUUUCCUCAAGGUUAAGAAUUUUCAGCUCAUGAGUUUUCCCUACAUGUUAUCAAACUCAUUUUUCCCUUUCAUACAAUAUUUCAUUGUCCUACCAUAAAAAACACCAAGGAAAUCAUAAGGUUUCUCUUUUUGAUUUUUGUCUUGUAGACAAAUCGUGACAUAGUAAGAGGUUCUUGGUACGUGUGUGUUCAGUAAAUAUUUAUGAAUGUUUUAAGGAGUUAAUUUUGAAAACUGAAAUUUGAACUAUCACUCUUAGGUUACAACAUAAAAUCUAGCCUAAUAGUUAUGAUCAGAGUAAAACUUAUACACACAAACUCAUAAACUCACACAUAUAUUUCAUUUAAUAAAAUUUUAAACUCCUGUGCAUGUAAUACUUAAAUAAUGCAGUUUAAUUAACUGUAUAAAUACAUGCCAUAGAAAUACAGAGAUUUAUGUUGAUUCAUAUUCAUAUGUAAAAUUUACAUUAGCUAUAUUACAAGGAUAAAUAUCAGAAAAUGUGCAAUAAUUCAAAGAAAAAAAGUGCAAAAAUUAUUUUUCUGAUAUAUGGGAAAAUUUGAACAUGGACUGGAUAUAGUCUGUAUUAUAUUUUCCAAUGGGUAAGAAUACUAUUAUGGUUAUAUUAAGAAAGAAUAACAUCUUAUGAGAAAUAUUAAUGCACAUUGGGCUAUUUAAGUGUAAAAUAAGUUGUUUUCUUGAAUUUGCUUUAAAAUUCUCAAAUAAUAAUGGAUCAACACAUUACUGGUUUGAUUGUAGCAAUUACUGUGGAUCAGAGAUAGAAACAAAGGGGAACACUGGCUUUUCUCUCUCAUCUUGUGUGUGUGUGUGUGUGUGUGUGUGUGUGAGUGUGUGUGUGAGUGUGUGUGUGAGUGUGUGUGUGUGAACACUUCUGUAAUACAAUGUUUAAAAAAGUUCACUCAUACACAAUUGAUAAUAGUUUAGUAUGAGAACAUAAAACAAUAAUUAACAAAAAACCUGAGUUAGACAGGUGAUUUUACAAAAGCCUAUUUUAUUGACAAUUCAGUAAAAUGAUAUUUAUUAUAUAAAAAGUAUACAACCACCAAGUCCCAUAUAUUUUCUUAUAUGUGUCAAGGAGAAGAAAACAAAUGAGCCCAGAAGUUGAGAAAUGAAUUAUUUAAUUAAAAAAAAUCUCCUUUUUUAUGUUGGAACAUUUGACAUUUGUGUUGAAUUGCAAUGCUUUUCUAUUCUCUCACUCAAGUUAAAAGGUCAGUUCAGUUAUUUUCCUUCAAACUGGAUUUUUGUGCACUAGCAUAUUAAUAAAAACAUUAAUUUCACAUUAACUCUUACAUUUCAAUCAUUUCUUACUAAAAAUGACCUUGCUGCCUGCUCUAUAUACUUUUUGUUCAAUAAAGGUAAUGUUUAUAUAUAUAUGACAAAAAUGAGGAUUGUGAGGACUUCCAUAGUGGUUCAUUGGAUAAGACUCUGCACUUUUUCAAUCCAGGGUGCCUGGGUUCAGUCCCUGGUCAGGGAACUAGAUCCCACAUGCUGCAACUAAAGAUCCUGAGUGCUACAUAGACAAAUUUUUUUUUUAAAUAAUGAAUAUUGUUUUUCUCAUAUUUAUCUUUUUUCACAUUUACCUUGCUUGACAGGUAAGAUUUUAUAAGUGAAAAUCAAAAUUUUGCUUGCUUCAUUUUAUAUGCAGGAUUUUGCUUCUACUGAAGCUUUUGCUCUACCCUCAAGAUUUUGAUAUAAUAUUUAUCAGAUAUGCAUACUUUUAUCUCAAAAUAAUAAGAAAUUUGAUACUUUUUCUUGGAUUUUUCUAACACUGUCUUUGACAUAUUGUGUGUGUAUGUUCUGUAUUUUGAAUAAAUUUCACAACUUAUUAAAGAGAAACAAAAAGGUUAUAUCAGGC